GUGAGGAAUAUUGGUCAAUGGGCGGAAGCCUGAACCAGCCAUCCCGCGUGAAGGAAGGCGGCCCUAUGGGUUGUAAACUUCUUUAGUACAUGAAGAACAGGAUCUACGCGUAGGUUUAUGACGGUAAUGUACAAAAAAGCAUCGGCUAACUCCGUGCCAGCAGCCGCGGUAAUACGGAGGAUGCGAGCGUUAUCCGGAUUCAUUGGGUUUAAAGGGUACGUAGGUGGCCCUGUAAGUCAGUGGUGAAAAUCUGCCGCUUAACGGUAGGGGUGCCAAUGAUACUGCGGGGCUUGAGUACAGUUGAGGUAGGUGGAAUGUGUAGUGUAGCGGUGAAAUGCAUAGAUAUUACACAGAACUCCGAUUGCGAAGGCAUCUUACUAAGCUGAAACUGACACUGAUGUACGAAAGCGUGGGGAUCGAACAGGAUUAGAUACCCUAGUAGUCC
This 445-nucleotide ribosomal RNA is filed under the name uncultured bacterium. Its description in RNAcentral is "partial 16S ribosomal RNA". It matches the Rfam family "Bacterial small subunit ribosomal RNA", at positions 354 to 796 of the family's 1533-position model. The record is from RNAcentral.